AUUCUAGUAGUUUAUCCAAAAACAUUGGUCUUGUAAACCAAAAACUGAAAAAAUUAUAUUUUUCCUAGAAUA
Molecule: transfer RNA, 72 nt
Filed under: Podocnemis unifilis (yellow-spotted Amazon River turtle)
Lineage: Eukaryota; Metazoa; Chordata; Testudines; Podocnemididae
Description: tRNA-Thr
Rfam family: tRNA
About the family: Transfer RNA (tRNA) molecules are approximately 80 nucleotides in length. Their secondary structure includes four short double-helical elements and three loops (D, anti-codon, and T loops). Further hydrogen bonds mediate the characteristic L-shaped molecular structure. tRNAs have two regions of fundamental functional importance: the anti-codon, which is responsible for specific mRNA codon recognition, and the 3' end, to which the tRNAs corresponding amino acid is attached (by aminoacyl-tRNA synthetases). tRNAs cope with the degeneracy of the genetic code in two manners: having more than one tRNA (with a specific anti-codon) for a particular amino acid; and 'wobble' base-pairing, i.e. permitting non-standard base-pairing at the 3rd anti-codon position.
Source: RNAcentral